UCGGGAAUUUUGGGCAAUGGGCGAAAGCCUGACCCAGCAACGCCGCGUGAGGGAUGAAGUAUUUCGGUAUGUAAACCUCGAAAGAAUGGGAAGAAUAAAUGACGGUACCAUUUAUAAGCUCCGGCUAACUACGUGCCAGCAGCCGCGGUAAUACGUAGGGAGCAAGCGUUGUUCGGAUUUACUGGGCGUAAAGGGCGCGUAGGCGGCGCGGUAAGUCACUUGUGAAAUCUCUGAGCUUAACUCAGAACGGCCAAGUGAUACUGCUGUGCCAGAGUGCGGAAGAGGCGACCGGAUUUCUAGGUGUAGCGGUGAAAUGCGUAGAUAUCAAGAGGAACACCUGAGGCGAAGGCGGGUUGCUGGGCCGAAACUGACGCUGAUGCGCGAAAGCCAGGGGAGCAAACG
This 402-nucleotide ribosomal RNA is filed under the name uncultured bacterium. RNAcentral describes it as "bacterial SSU rRNA". It matches the Rfam family "Bacterial small subunit ribosomal RNA", at positions 355 to 774 of the family's 1533-position model. The record is from RNAcentral.